GAAUUCUGCUACACCUUAAACAAAGGAUACAAAUUGCUAAGGAAAGGACAGUCUCAGCCCGCAAUAUCUAUUCUCAGAACCAGAGGAGAAACAUUGAGAUUCUUUCUCUUUAGCCACAGCACAAAACUAUGAUUGAGACUGGUUAGCCCUUGAUUCAUUGUGUAAGUUGACCCCCCUAAAACAAGAAAAAAGAUGAAGAUGAACAACCUGAACUGGACUCCUGCCAAGUCCACAAACAGAUUUUGCAAG
Molecule: non-coding RNA, 249 nt
Organism: Chlorocebus sabaeus (green monkey)
Lineage: Eukaryota; Metazoa; Chordata; Mammalia; Primates; Cercopithecidae
Source: RefSeq, a predicted model, not a curated record